This 342-nucleotide non-coding RNA is filed under the name Clostridium perfringens. RNAcentral's name for it is "T-box sequence". It matches the Rfam family "T-box leader". Rfam says of the family: Uncharged tRNA acts as the effector for transcription antitermination of genes in the T-box leader family. T-boxes are found upstream of many aminoacyl-tRNA synthetase genes and some amino acid biosynthetic genes usually in Gram-positive bacteria. Lineage: Bacteria; Bacillati; Bacillota; Clostridia; Eubacteriales; Clostridiaceae. The record is from RNAcentral.
UGAAAAACAGUGAAGAGAAAGAGUAAAUUAGGUGGACUUUUCAGAGAGCUAAAGUUUGGUGAGAUUUAGUAAGAAAGCUUAAUUGAAGCAGUCUCGGAGUUUCUUGUUGAGAACUAAAGGUUAAAUAGAGUAUUUUAGUAAGUAUGUUUUAAAAUUAAGAUGUACAUAACUUUUAAUUAGAUUAAGACGAUUUCCUCCCGUUAAAGAGGAUAGAAAUUGAGUAAUAAGUAAGGAAUAAAUUUAUUAAAUUUCAGCCAUACUAUUAAAGAUUUCUAACUGAGGUGAGUAAAAGUAAUUUUACUUAUUAGGGUGGUACCGCGAAGUAGUUCCUUCGUCCCUUUU